UUUCCAUUAGAGAAGUUUCAUACCUGUUAGAUCUCCUGCUGCCAGGAACUAACCUCCUGGGAGACAGGUCUUAUCGUCAUCCAGGCAUAUAGGAGGGUGUUGGGAAAACACUUGUAGUGGAUGCUGGAUUGUGCCAUUCAGAGCCAGCUCCCUUUGCUAUUGAAGAACUUAUUUCCCUACAUGUCAGGACUUCUGCUGGCUGAUGGCCCCCAGCUGUGAGCUCUUUCAGGCAUCACCUUUGGCUGCAAAAGGCUCCCUCUCCUGAAGUUACUACCUGCAUCCCUGGAGGCAGACUUCAUCUCAUGUCUUCAUCCAAAGUUUGAACAAAUUGGCUAAGAAGGUGCUAGACAUGUAAAGGGACUAUUUUUUUUCUUAAUUCAAAUGUAGGAGGAGUAUGGAUCUCCAGGAACCAGAAGAGCUGCAUACAUAUAAACAAAGCUCCAAAUUUGGAAGCAGCAGUGAAACUCCACAGCAGUGAAAAGAAAGAAAAAAAGACUAAGCCAGGAAACCUCUUGAAGGCCCAGAGAAGUAGGCACGUAUAUAAGGUUGAAGUUUGAGUUAGAUAGUUGAUCAGAUUCAGGUUCUGAUCUUUGAGCCAGAACACUUCCAAGGUAGAAUUGUUUUUUUCCACUAAAAGCACAUCAUGUCUGCUUGUCUUUUUGUGAGAUGCCCAGACUGGAGCUGCCACAUAGGAGACACUUGGUGAGCUCUCAAGGAAGAUUGGAUGUCUAUGGAGAAUCCACGUACCUAUAUCAUAUUAGUUGGAGCAAAACACAGACUCUGGGAUGAAAGGCAAAAGUGUUAUAAUGAGGCCAAUGGAAUGUGCUGAAUCCGUUCCUCAAAGAAAAACAAAACCAAAUAUCUCUCCAAGUCUGGAUUAUACCAGAGUUUCCAAAUCAUAAACAACCAAUGAAAAAGGGAUCAUAUCAUUAUGCGUUUCUACAAGGCCUUACUGAGGUGUGAGCCUAGCACUGUCUUGUGGGCACAGCCUUGCACCUGUAUCUUCA
This 1007-nucleotide long non-coding RNA is filed under the name Homo sapiens (human). RNAcentral describes it as "HSALNT0301023". Lineage: Eukaryota; Metazoa; Chordata; Mammalia; Primates; Hominidae. The record is from RNAcentral.